UGAGCAAGCCAAGGUGGUUGCCUCGCGGCAACCCCCGGAUAACGCGCAGGCGGAUCUGUGGGGUUAAUGCCGUCGCGGGGAGGAAAGUCCGGGCUCCAAAGGAUAUUGCAUCCUGGUAAUGCAGGACAUCCUGGCCUGCCGGCCGGGAUAGGAUUAGAGCUACAGUGACGAUACCCGUUCUUGUGUUCUUUCAGGACGGGGGGUGAAACGAGCAAUCUCUGCAAGGAGCAAGGCCAAAUAGGAAGAGACACGGCGUUCGGCCGGACGAAGCGAUCCGCUUCGUAAAAAAGCUGCGGCUUUUUAAUAUCUUCGGGUAGGCUGCAAGAGUCCCUGACGCGAGUCGGGGAGUGAGUGAAAUAACCGCCUGUUCCGCCUGUAAAAAAUCGGGACACACAAAACCCGGCUUAUUGGCUUGCUCAUCAU
This 423-nucleotide RNase P RNA is filed under the name Candidatus Omnitrophota bacterium. Its description in RNAcentral is "RNase P RNA component class A". It matches the Rfam family "Bacterial RNase P class A". From Rfam's summary of the family: Ribonuclease P (RNase P) is a ubiquitous endoribonuclease, found in archaea, bacteria and eukarya as well as chloroplasts and mitochondria. The record is from RNAcentral. Lineage: Bacteria; Pseudomonadati; Candidatus Omnitrophota.